This 497-nucleotide ribosomal RNA is filed under the name uncultured bacterium. RNAcentral's name for it is "partial 16S ribosomal RNA". It matches the Rfam family "Bacterial small subunit ribosomal RNA", at positions 28 to 507 of the family's 1533-position model. The record is from RNAcentral.
GAUGAACGCUGGCGGCGUGCCUAAUACAUGCAAGUCGAGCGAACGGACGAGAAGCUUGCUUCUCUGAUGUUAGCGGCGGACGGGUGAGUAACACGUGGAUAACCUACCUAUAAGACUGGGAUAACUUCGGGAAACCGCAGCUAAUACCGGAUAAUAUUUUGAACCGCAUGGUUCAAAAGUGAAAGACGGUCUUGCUGUCACUUAUAGAUGGAUCCGCGCUGCAUUAGCUAGUUGGUAAGGUAACGGCUUACCAAGGAAACGAUGCAUAGCCGACCUGAGAGGGUGAUCGGCCACACUGGAACUGAGACACGGUCCAGACUCCUACGGGAGGCAGCAGUAGGGAAUCUUCCGCAAUGGGCGAAAGCCUGACGGAGCAACGCCGCGUGAGUGAUGAAGGUCUUCGGAUCGUAAAACUCUGUUAUUAGGGAAGAACAUAUGUGUAAGUAACUGUGCACAUCUUGACGGUACCUAAUCAGAAAGCCACGGCUAACUACGUG